This 504-nucleotide ribosomal RNA is filed under the name uncultured bacterium. RNAcentral's name for it is "partial 16S ribosomal RNA". It matches the Rfam family "Bacterial small subunit ribosomal RNA", at positions 30 to 523 of the family's 1533-position model. The record is from RNAcentral.
AUUGAACGCUGGCGGCAGGCCUAACACAUGCAAGUCGAACGGUAGCACAGAGAGCUUGCUCUCGGGUGACGAGUGGCGGACGGGUGAGUAAUGUCUGGGAAACUGCCCGAUGGAGGGAGAUAACUACUGGAAACGGUAGCCAAUACCGCAUUACGUCGCAAGUCCAAAGUGGGGAAACUUCGGGCCUCACAGCACCGUAUGUGCCCAAAUGGGAAUAGCUAGUAGGUGGGGUAUUGGCCCACCUAGGCGACGAUCCGUAGCUGGUCUGAGAGGAUGACCAGCCACACUGGAACUGAGACACGGUCCAGACUCCUACGGGAGGCAGCAGUGGGGAAUAUUGCACAAUGGGCGCAAGCCUGAUGCAGCCAUGCCGCGUGUAUGAAGAAGGCCUUCGGGUUGUAAAGUACUUUCAGCGGGGAGGAAGGCGGUGAAGUUAAUAACUUCACCGAUUGACGUUACCCGCAGAAGAAGCACCGGCUAACUCCGUGCCAGCCGCCGCAGUAA